GAUGAACGCUGGCGGCGUGCCUAAUACACGCAAGUCGAGCGAACAGACGAGGAGCUUGCUCCUUUGACGUUAGCGGCGGACGGGUGAGUAACACGUGGGUAACCUACCUAUAAGACUGGGAUAACUUCGGGAAACCGGAGCUAAUACCGGAUAAUAUUUCGAACCGCAUGGUUCGAUAGUGAAAGAUGGCUUUGCUAUCACUUAUAGAUGGACCUGCGCCGUAUUAGCUAGUUGGUAAGGUAACGGCUUACCAAGGCAACGAUACGUAGCCGACCUGAGAGGGUGAUCGGCCACACUGGAACUGAGACACGGUCCAGACUCCUACGGGAGGCAGCAGUAGGGAAUCUUCCGCAAUGGGCGAAAGCCUGACGGAGCAACGCCGCGUGAGUGAUGAAGGUCUUCGGAUCGUAAAACUCUGUUAUUAGGGAAGAACAAAAGUGUAAGUAACUGUGCACGUCUUGACGGUACCUAAUCAGAAAGCCACGGCUAACUACGUG
RNAcentral lists this ribosomal RNA (497 nucleotides) under uncultured bacterium. RNAcentral's name for it is "partial 16S ribosomal RNA". It matches the Rfam family "Bacterial small subunit ribosomal RNA", at positions 28 to 507 of the family's 1533-position model. The record is from RNAcentral.